Molecule: RNA transcript, 992 nt
Organism: Poeciliopsis prolifica (blackstripe livebearer)
Lineage: Eukaryota; Metazoa; Chordata; Actinopteri; Cyprinodontiformes; Poeciliidae
Gene name: protein lifeguard 1-like
Exons: 2
Source: RefSeq, a predicted model, not a curated record
CAGCUCUGCUUUGAGCAGUUUUGGGUGCUCAGCUCUGUGGCCAAGAGCCUCAUGAUGAGUCUAGAUCAAACUGCUGCAGCCUUGCUGUUCCUGGCUGUGGACACCCAGCUGCUGCUUGGCAACAAGGAGCUCGCUCUGAGCCCAGAGGAAUAUGUCUUUGCUGCUAUCAACCUGUACAUGGACAUCAUCAACAUCUUCCUCUACGUUCUCGCUCUCGUCGGAAGAGCCCGAGGUUGAGCGGAGGGAGUGUCCGAUCGCGAUCAAGGCAGAACAUUAUUUGGAAUUUGCAUAAAGGACCAAGUUUCCAUAAUCAAAGCUUUUGACUUGCUUUCUAGUGUGUAUUUAACAUAGGGUUAAAUGCUGCUUUUGUUUCACCCAGUGUAAAUGCUUAUCUUAAAUUGAUGCUGUCAGUAGUGUUUUGUUGAUAACUGAAGUUUUCUUUGUUGAACUUAUUUUAAAAUCAUAUUUUUGUUUAUGGGGAGAUCUGAUUAAAGCUCAGCUGGUGAGCAUCUAAUGAGGGAUUCACACUUAAGGAGUGCAAAUAGGUCAGUGUGCUUGAUGCAGUUUUCCACUGGUAUGACUGUAUGAUGAUGUCUAAAAUUAUUUAGUCACCAACCAAAGACCAUGAAAUCAUAAUAUAUCGGAUCAAGGUUGAUGUUUUGCUGCAGCCGUCAGUAGGAAUGUGAAGGGCUAAAUUGGCAAAAUUGUGGGAGCCGAGUCUCUGAGGACACCCCUGCUAAAAAACCUUAUUGAAAAGUGACUACAAAGUGGUCGUUGUGAAAUAUUUCUAUACUGUUUUUGGGGCCUGCCUAGCAACGCUGCGAGCCCACCCACAAAAGUGGUAUCAAAACGUGCGGCUCGUUCCCGGCAUUGGAGCUAUUACUUUUAUGGGGAAUCAGCGUUACGACGGCGACGUAAAAAGUGAAAAACAAGCGAAAUUUCCAACUGCCGAAACGCAGAGCAUAACUGCCACCAACUGCCGCUCCGCUAGA